Lucilia sericata (common green bottle fly) is the source of this 879-nucleotide long non-coding RNA. RefSeq lists it as uncharacterized. The transcript is spliced from 3 exons. The record is from RefSeq and is a predicted model, not a curated record. Lineage: Eukaryota; Metazoa; Arthropoda; Insecta; Diptera; Calliphoridae.
UUUAGUUCGGUACCGACCGUUAUUACGUUUACACACUUUAAGCGGGUUACACUAUACACAAAAAUAAAGUAAAUAUUUUACAGUGUUGUUCUUUAACAAAAAAAUAAAAAUAAAAUCAAACGAAAUUAAAGAAAUAAAAUAAAAUUUUGGGAAAAUUAAAGAAUAAGAAAUAAAUUUACGUAUUAAAAAACAACCAUUAUUGCCGUUUUUAAAACGUCAAACGUAAAAAGUCAUUUGUGUCUUUAUUAAAAGCGUGCUGCAGUGUUGGUUUGUGCAAGAUUGUGCAAUUAUUAAGUGUUUCAAAAUUAAAACAGUUUAAAAACAAAAUUUUGUUAAAAAUCUUUAAAAAAAAACAUAAAGCUAAAGCUCAUUACCAUCAACAAAAGCAAUCUAUAAAAGAUUUUAAAACUACAAUUUCUUGAAAGAAUUCUACAAAAUUAAAUAAACUUAAAUAAAUAACAAUUUUAAAGGAAUUUUACUAAAAUAACAUAAAAUUCUAAAGAAUUACUUAAAAAAAACAACAAUAAAUAAACGCCUAAGUAACCUAUACUCUGGCAACAACAAAAACAAACACAUGAUUCAAGUGUUUCAAUGUUAAAAAAAAAAAGUGAAAAAGUAUUAAAAAACAACAAUUAAACAAAAAAACCUAAAGCCUAACUUGAUUAAAGACUCCUCUCUUGCUCUUAUUACAAAGCAACAGAAAAACAACAAAAACAAUAAUUGUUUUUAUAAAUUACAAUAACAGCAACAACACAAAACAUAAACAUAAUUUACUUUUUAUAUAAUUAAAGCAUACACUUCGUUUAACAUCGUCAAGAAAAAUAAUACAAAUAAAAUCCCUGUAAAACGAGUGGAAAAUACAUAAAUUUCGAAAGAAAA